UACGAAGGGGGCUAGCGUUGCUCGGAAUCACUGGGCGUAAAGGGUGCGUAGGCGGGUCUUUUAAGUCAGGGGUGAAAUCCUGGAGCUCAACUCCAGAACUGCCUUUGAUACUGAAGAUCUUGAGUUCGGGAGAGGUGAGUGGAACUGCGAGUGUAGAGGUGAAAUUCGUAGAUAUUCGCAAGAACACCAGUGGCGAAGGCGGCUCACUGGCCCGAUACUGACGCUGAGGCACGAAGGCCAGGGGAGCAAACGGG
RNAcentral lists this ribosomal RNA (254 nucleotides) under uncultured bacterium. RNAcentral describes it as "partial 16S ribosomal RNA". It matches the Rfam family "Bacterial small subunit ribosomal RNA", at positions 524 to 776 of the family's 1533-position model. The record is from RNAcentral.